This 22-nucleotide microRNA is filed under the name Heligmosomoides polygyrus. RNAcentral's name for it is "hpo-miR-10081-5p". The record is from miRBase by way of RNAcentral. Lineage: Eukaryota; Metazoa; Nematoda; Chromadorea; Rhabditida; Heligmosomidae.
CGAUCCUCCGUCUACACCUGUA